CAAUAGCGUAUAUUAAAGCUGUUGCGGUUAAAAAGCUCGUAGUUGGAUUUCUGUCAAGGACAUCUGGUCCGCCCUCCGGGUGAGCACAUAGUUUGGUCUUGGCAUCUUGCUGGAAACUGUUGCUGCACUUGGCUGUGUGGCGCAGCGUCCAGCACUUUCACUUUGAGGAAAUUGGAGUGUUUCAAGCAGGCACAUGCCUUUGGACACAGUAGCAUGGAAUAAUUAGAUUGGGCUUUUGCUCCAAUUUGUCGGUUUCUGGAGCUGAGGUGAGAAUUAAUGGGGAUUGUUGGGGGCAUCCGAAUUUAGCCGUCAGAGGUGAAAUUCUUGGAUCUGCUAAAGACGGACAACUGCGAAAGCGUUUGCCCAGGAUGUUUUCAUUGA
RNAcentral lists this ribosomal RNA (381 nucleotides) under uncultured eukaryote. Its description in RNAcentral is "partial 18S ribosomal RNA". It matches the Rfam family "Eukaryotic small subunit ribosomal RNA", at positions 592 to 976 of the family's 1831-position model. The record is from RNAcentral.